UGGAUUGUGUUAUGAAUUCUUAGAUCCCUCUUGUUAUUGAUUUUUCUAUCUUUUUAUAUAAUCGGAACUCAUCCGCUUCUAGUUUUAUUGUCUUCUGGUUUGCUAGGCUAAUGGGGUGGUCUCCGAUCCUUGACAAACUUGAGAUACCCAUCACAACUAGGCCCUAGUUUGGGUCGUGACAUUCUCAUAUAAGAAAUCUAAAUUCUUG
RNAcentral lists this long non-coding RNA (208 nucleotides) under Capsicum annuum. Its description in RNAcentral is "long non-coding RNA (CANN_LNC001735)". Lineage: Eukaryota; Viridiplantae; Streptophyta; Magnoliopsida; Solanales; Solanaceae. The record is from RNAcentral.